GAUGAACGCUGGCGGCGUGCCUAAUACAUGCAAGUCGAGCGAAUGGAUUAAGAGCUUGCUCUUAUGAAGUUAGCGGCGGACGGGUGAGUAACACGUGGGUAACCUGCCCAUAAGACUGGGAUAACUCCGGGAAACCGGGGCUAAUACCGGAUAACAUUUUGAACCGCAUGGUUCGAAAUUGAAAGGCGGCUUCGGCUGUCACUUAUGGAUGGACCCGCGUCGCAUUAGCUAGUUGGUGAGGUAACGGCUCACCAAGGCAACGAUGCGUAGCCGACCUGAGAGGGUGAUCGGCCACACUGGGACUGAGACACGGCCCAGACUCCUACGGGAGGCAGCAGUAGGGAAUCUUCCGCAAUGGACGAAAGUCUGAUGGAGCAACGCCGCGUGAGUGAUGAAGGCUUUCGGGUCGUAAAACUCUGUUGUUAGGGAAGAACAAGUGCUAGUUGAAUAAGCUGACACCUUGACGGUACCUAACCAGAAAGCCACGGCUAACUAUGUGCCAGCCGCCGCGGUAA
RNAcentral lists this ribosomal RNA (515 nucleotides) under uncultured bacterium. RNAcentral's name for it is "partial 16S ribosomal RNA". It matches the Rfam family "Bacterial small subunit ribosomal RNA", at positions 28 to 523 of the family's 1533-position model. The record is from RNAcentral.